Molecule: ribosomal RNA, 497 nt
Filed under: uncultured bacterium
Lineage: Bacteria
Description: partial 16S ribosomal RNA
Rfam family: Bacterial small subunit ribosomal RNA
Source: RNAcentral
GAUGAACGCUGGCGGCGUGCCUAAUACAUGCAAGUCGAGCGAACAGACGAGGAGCUUGCUCCUCUGACGUUAGCGGCGGACGGGUGAGUAACACGUGGAUAACCUACCUAUAAGACUGGGAUAACUUCGGGAAACCGGAGCUAAUACCGGAUAAUAUAUUGAACCGCAUGGUUGAAUAGUGAAAGACGGUUUUGCUGUCACUUAUAGAUGGAUCCGCGCCGCAUUAGCUAGUUGGUACGGUAACGGCUUACCAAGGCAACGAUGCGUAGCCGACCUGAGAGGGUGAACCGCCACUCUGGAACUGAGACACGGCCCAGACUCCUACGGGAGGCAGCAGUAGGGAAUCUUCCGCAAUGGGCGAAAGCCUGACGGAGCAACGCCGCGUUAGUGAUGAAGGUCUUCGGAUCGUAAAACUCUGUUAUUAUGGAAGAACAAAUGUGUAAGUAACUAUGCACGUCUUGACGGUACCUAAUCAGAAAGCCACGGCUAACUACGUG